RNAcentral lists this unclassified non-coding RNA (758 nucleotides) under Hevea brasiliensis (rubber tree). Lineage: Eukaryota; Viridiplantae; Streptophyta; Magnoliopsida; Malpighiales; Euphorbiaceae. The record is from RNAcentral.
AGGUUCUCUAAAACAAAUUUAUUUUCAUUAAUUGGCUUAACACAAGUGGCAAUGAAGCCUAGCCACACAAAAUACAAAUCACAUUUAUCCAACAUAAAAAUAGAAUUUUCAGCGCAAAAUUAAACAGUUCAAUGCUUCUUCAAAAAAUCUCCGGCCAUCUUCAGAUAAUCUCCUUUUUUACCAGAUUCCGACGACUGACUCCCAUCGGAAUCUUUCUUCAAAAGUCCUUCCGCCAUUUUAAUAUACUCGCCAUAUCCACUUCCUGAUUUUUCAUGUUUUCCUCCACUUGUAUGCCCCGAUGACUGCGUAUGUGCAGUCGCCGCGGCGGUAGCGGUGGUUGUUGAAUGAUGAGAAGUUUCGUAUUUAUGGAGAUAAGUCUCUGCUUUUCCGACGAAUUUCCCGAUCCCUGUCUCUUCUAGUUUACCGUACUGUGAAGCGGCGUUGAGGAGGUCAGCGGCAGCUCCGGCGAGCUCCGAUUUCUCAAAUUGUUUUGGAUCGUGAUGGAGUUUUGCUUUGGCGGCGUCAGCUACUAGCUUGGCGCUGGACAUCAGCUCAGAUUUAGAUGGCUUCGGGUGGCUGUUGGGCUUAUGGGUCGAUGAAUGACCCGAUCCGGAUGUGCUCUUGGCUCGUGUUGGAUCCAUAGAAUGAACUAGUAUCUUUCGAUUAAUAAAAUAAUUGAAGUGCGAACGAAUUGAUUAUAUAUAUGAGGAAAUUUGUUGGUUAUUGAUGAAUGAACAAUGGUAUCGCUAAUGUAAAUA